Molecule: ribosomal RNA, 443 nt
Filed under: uncultured bacterium
Lineage: Bacteria
Description: partial 16S ribosomal RNA
Rfam family: Bacterial small subunit ribosomal RNA
Source: RNAcentral
CCUACGGUAGGCAGCAGUGGGGAAUAUUGGACAAUGGGGGGAACCCUGAUCCAGCGACGCCGCGUGAGUGAAGAAGUAUUUCGGUAUGUAAAGCUCUAUCAGCAGGGAAGAAAGAAAUGACGAUACCUGACUAAGAAGCCCCGGCUAACUAAGUGCCAGCAGCCGCGGUAAUACGUAGGGGGCAAGCGUUAUCCGGAUUUACUGGGUGUAAAGGGAGCGUAGACGGCGAUGCAAGUCUGAAGUGAAAGGCGGGGGCCCAACCUCCGGACUGCUUUGGAAACUGUAUGGCUGGAGUGCAGGAGAGGUAAGUGGAAUUCCUAGUGUAGCGGUGAAAUGCGUAGAGAUUAGGAGGAACACCAGUGGCGAAGGCGGCUUACUGGACUGUAACUGACGUUGAGGCUCGAAAGCGUGGGGAGCAAACAGGAUUAGAUACCCGUGUAGUC